Molecule: ribosomal RNA, 409 nt
Filed under: bacterium
Lineage: Bacteria
Description: partial 16S ribosomal RNA
Rfam family: Bacterial small subunit ribosomal RNA
Source: RNAcentral
UGGGGAAUAUUGCACAAUGGGCGAAAGCCUGAUGCAGCGACGCCGCGUGAGGGAUGACGGCCUUCGGGUUGUAAACCUCUUUCAGUAGGGACGAAGCGCAAGUGACGGUACCUGCAGAAGAAGCACCGGCUAACUACGGGCCAGCAGCCGCGGUAAUACGUAGGGUGCGAGCGUUGUCCGGAAUUACUGGGCGUAAAGAGCUCGUAGGCGGUUUGUCACGUCGUCUGUGAAAUCCUAGGGCUUAACCCUGGACGUGCAGGCGAUACGGGCUGACUUGAGUACUACAGGGGAGACUGGAAUUUCUGGUGUAGCGGUGGAAUGCACAGAUAUCAGGAAGAACACCGAUGGCGAAGGCAGGUCUCUGGGUAGUAACUGACGCUGAGGAGCGAAAGCAUGGGUAGCGAACAGG